UGAAUGAACGGUCACCUUACCCCUAAAAACCCUCCUCCUUUGCCGCUGAACAUCCGAUCCCUGCGCCUCCACCUGUCCUGGAACCUGCGUCGGUGCCGUUCAGAACUGCAGCGCCCAGUCUCCUUCGCGCGCCUCUACCGUCACUGGCAGCAACUGUUUCGUCCAUCAGCGUCGUCUCGAACUGCAACGCCCAAUCUCUGUUGCGCACGUCAUCCGUGGUUGGUGGGAGUUGCCUCACCUGACACCGGAACUCCACCGCUCACCCAACAUUGGAAGAACGCAUUAAAACAACAACAGAGUCGUGGAAAUGACAGAUAUGACUGAACUAGAAACUGAUGAGACAGAAUGUGGUCAUAGAAUUCAUAUAUGCUUGGAGUUGAUGCAGUUAGAUAUAAGUUAUUAAGUUAUAAUAGACAUGUUAUUACAUUUUUAAAUCCUACUUAAUUAUGUCAUAUUCCAUAAUGGAAAUUUAUCACAAAGUGUAAAAUUUUUCAAUUAUAAAACAUAUGCCGUUAGUAUAA
Molecule: long non-coding RNA, 521 nt
Organism: Arachis duranensis
Lineage: Eukaryota; Viridiplantae; Streptophyta; Magnoliopsida; Fabales; Fabaceae
Exons: 2
Source: RefSeq, a predicted model, not a curated record